GUUCAAUCAAGCGAAUCGUAGAAAAAUCACUUUUUCCCGGGGGUGGGGGGGUGGGGCUAGCCAUCAAUGAGAUACAACUUUGAGAGAGCUAGAAUUCUAACCUUGUGUCAGAACCUAUGGGCUAAGGGAUAAUCUCAGGUAGACAAUUUCUAUGGGAGCGUAGGCCUCCUAAAAGGUAAUGAAGGCGUGCAAAGGUUUCCUCGGGUUGGACGGAGAUUGGCCCUUGAGGGCAAAGGCAGAAGGGAGUUUGACUGCAAGACUCACCCUCACCCGUUGAGUAGGGACAAAAGUCGGCCUUAAUGAUCCGACGGUGCCACCCACAAAAUUUAAAAAAC
This 335-nucleotide ribosomal RNA is filed under the name Olea europaea subsp. europaea. RNAcentral describes it as "Bacterial large subunit ribosomal RNA". It matches the Rfam family "Bacterial large subunit ribosomal RNA", at positions 2127 to 2461 of the family's 2925-position model. The record is from Rfam by way of RNAcentral. Lineage: Eukaryota; Viridiplantae; Streptophyta; Magnoliopsida; Lamiales; Oleaceae.